UGCGAAGGGGGGCUAGCGUUGUUCGGAAUCACUGGGCGUAAAGCGCACGUAGGCGGAUCUUUUAAGUCAGGGGGUGAAAAUCCCGAGGCUCAACCUCGGAACUGCCUUUGAUACUGGGGGAUCUCGAGUCCGGGAGAGGUGAGUGGAACUGCGAGUGUAGAGGUGAAAUUCGUAGAUAUUCGCAAGAACACCAGUGGCGAAGGCGGCUCACUGGCCCGGAACUGACGCUGAGGUGCGAAAGCGUGGGGAGCAAACAGG
Molecule: ribosomal RNA, 258 nt
Filed under: uncultured bacterium
Lineage: Bacteria
Description: partial 16S ribosomal RNA
Rfam family: Bacterial small subunit ribosomal RNA
Source: RNAcentral